UGGUAGUGUAUUGGACUACCAUGGCUAUCACGGGUAACGGAGAAUUAGGGUUCGGUUCCGGAGAGGGAGCCUGAGAAACGGCUACCACAUCUAAGGAUAGCAGCAGGCGCGAAAAUUGCCCAAUCCCGAUUCGGGGAGGCAGUGACAAGAAAUAACAACCCAGGGAUUAUCCCAGGGAUUGUAAUGAGAAAAAUGUAAAGAUCUUAUCGAGUAUCAACUGGAGGGCAAGUUUUGGUGCCAGCAGCCGCGGUAAUUCCAACUCCAGUAGCGUAUAUUAAAGUUGCUGCAGUUAAAAAGCUCGUAGUUGAAAUUCUGCUCCGGCAGUUCAAUUUCCAAUAGGUUAUUGACACUCCGGGCAUCAGUCUGCAAUCUUUUUCACGGCAUUCAUUUGUCGGGCUAGGGAGCAGACGCUUUACCUUGAGAAAAUUAGAGUGUUCCAGGCAGGCUUCAGCCCGAAUACAUUAGCAUGGAAUAAUAGAAUAGGACUAGAGACUAUUUAUUGGUUUAAGGCUCUAGUAAUGAUUAAUAGGAACAGUCGGGGGCAUUAGUACUUAACAGUCAGAGGUGAAAUUCUAGGAUUUGUUAAAGACUAACUAAUGCGAAAGCAUUUGCCAAGCAUGUUUUCAUUAAUCAAGAACGAAAGCUAAGGGAUCAAAGACGAUCAGA
This 666-nucleotide ribosomal RNA is filed under the name uncultured ciliate. RNAcentral describes it as "SSU rRNA". It matches the Rfam family "Eukaryotic small subunit ribosomal RNA", at positions 326 to 1012 of the family's 1831-position model. Lineage: Eukaryota; Ciliophora. The record is from RNAcentral.